AGCCAACACCUCUGUGAUAAGAAGAAACCUUAUAACUAUGGCAAAAAGAAAAUGUUAAUGCCAAUUGCCCGAUGGGGCUUAUUUUCCUCUUUCUGUGUGGAGCAAGCUGCCUCCAGAUUAUGUACAAUGGGACUCCGGAUUCACUUUGUUGUUGAUCCUCAGGGCUGGUUCUGUAUGGGCCUGAUUAUUUUUGUCUGGCUUUUCAACACAUUCUUCAUUCCAAAAAUCAUCCUCCUUCCACACUAUGAAGAGGGGCAUAUAUCAGUGGUUGCAAUAUUGUGUUACUAUCUAUUUGCACUGUUCUGUGUUGUCUCAUUACUGAGAGCCUCAGUAGCUGAUCCAGGGAGACUACCUGAAAGCCCAAAGAUACCAAUUACAGAAAGAGACUUUUGGGAAUUAUGUAAUAAAUGUAAUAUGAUGAGACCAAAGCGUUCCCACCACUGCAGCCGAUGUGGACACUGUGUUAGGAGAAUGGAUCAUCAUUGUCCAUGGAUUAAUAACUGUGUUGGUGAAGAUAAUCACUGGCUGUUUUUGCAGUUAUGCUUCUACACAAAACUUCUCAGUGCUUAUACACUGCUACUUGAUUUCUGUCACUGUUAUUACUUUGAACCACUUAAAAAAGUUAAUUGGGAUAUCUUUGUGUUUAGACAUGAACUUGCCCUGAUAAGAAUAUCUACCUUCAUGGGUCUGAUAAUGCUGGUUGGAAUUAGUGGACUCUUUUAUACACAGUUGAUUGGUAUAUUCAAUGACACAACAAGCAUAGAAAAACUGGCAAACUGUUGCAAAGACAUAUCGAGACCUCGAAAGCCAUGGCAGCAGACCUUCUCAGAAGUUUUUGGCACUCGCUGGAAGAUCCUGUGGUUUAUUCCUUUCAGGCAAAGGCGACCACUGCGAGUUCCCUACCACUUUGCCAAUCACGUCUAAACAGAUGGAUGGAUACUCCCACCAAGCCAACCACAUCAGUAUCCAGUAUGGACAAAAUAUAUGCUUUUCAAGCUGCUAGAAGACUGCUGCUGAAUCUGGGAAGACAGCCAAGAGGGAGAGACGAGUAUAUGCAGAAGUGAUGCCUUGUUAAAAGCCUACAGCUCAAGCCCUGUCAUGCUUUUAAAAGGCAACACACUAAACUAGUUAAGCCUCGGGGGAAGUCCCCAUGAUGUGUGCAGCCUUGAGACUGCCUAUGAAGGAGCCAGAAUAGAGCUGUUCGGGGCCAGUCUUAAUGACUGAGCCAAAGAGAUAAGAUUACAACACCACAGAAGCUGCUGAAGAAAAUUAAAGCAAAGGCUACCAAAGCAAGUCUACUACAGAUGGUUGAAGAUAAUGAAGCCCAGCCAAAGCAAAGACUGCCACAGACACUGCCUGACACUGACCAAUGGCUGCUUAAAACCCAGCAAACAGCAAAAGCACCACUUUUCCAGAAGUGAAAAGUUUUUGUAUUGAGGUUUAGCAGGUAUUUAGCACUGCAAAGAGAAGCUUUUUGGUCAAAAAGAGACUAGAAAUAGAGAAUAUUAUGCAAAGAGUGUAAGAUAGAUAGAUACACACACUGGUGGUGCAGUUUCCAGACCCUUUUCCUGAAGCUAAAAAGAGUAUAUUAUACGAAGUUUAAAACCCUUUGGUUAAGACCAAAGAGGUUGUUUGUACAACUAAGAAAAGGCUGUAUGAAUAAAAAAUAGAUAAAUCUGUCUGUAAGGAGUGUAUAGGACUGUUCAUAAUAAAUGUUUACUUGUGUAACUGCAUCGCAAAUGUAAGCCUCACAAAUACAAGUACUAACUAGUGAACUUGUUAAAGCUAGCCAUGUGCUGCUUUAACUCUUUUGUUACCAGUUAAAACUAGCUAUGGGCCACUUUAACCACUUAGUUCCAAGUGGAAGUCAGCUACGUGCUGCUUUCACCUGUAAGUUAUAAGCUAAGAGCCAACUACUGUAUACACUUGUUUAAAUAUUAUGCACUGGCUAUGGCCAGCAAUAUGUCUCUAUUUAACUGUUAACUUACUGGCUAAGGACAGAGUUUCUCUAAAUCAUGUAUACACAAUUUCUGUAUUGGCUGAGACUAGCUACUUGUAUGUCUAGUCUGCACCAGACCUUAAUAUAGAUAUAAAGAAAUAUUUGUAUUUUCUGCUGUGGAACUCUAUCAUGAAAAUUGUAGUAUGACACAACAAAGAGAUGGGGCAGCUCUCUGCUUCAGCUGCUGUUAUAAAUUAGUCCAACAUUUGAGCCUGUCAAUACUUCCUGGCACUGGAUGCUGGGGGGGCUGAGCCCUCCCAGGGGAAUCCAGGGGGCACACUUGAGCCCCGCAGCCCUCCCCCAAAGUUUACACCUAUGGCUGGUGGGCCAUAAUGCUUUGUUAUGGUUUAAAAACAAACACUCUCUGAACACAGAAAAUAGUGUGUCAGAGAGAAGACUAGGCUAGAACUUUUCUUUCUGACAUGUGACAUGUCAAGUUUCUGUGUUCAAUGCGCAUGGGGGGCUUCCCUCCAUUUGGUCUGAUGUGGCAUAGCAAGAACUAUGUGAUGCACAGCAUUACUAUGUAGCUAAGCCAACACUCCUAUCCACACCUACUAGGAGCGAACCCAUUUGAACAUGGUAGAUAGUAUUCAACUAAGUCCUACUCAGAGUUGACCCACUGAAAUUAAUGAACCUGCAUUAGCCAUGUCUGUUACCUCAGUGGGUAUACUCUGAGUAAGACUAGCAUUGAAUACCAUCCAGUGGAACUUACUUCUAAAUAAACAUGCAUAGGACUGCGCUACGUUUUAUUAAAAAAAUCAUUUUAUU
RNA transcript from Rhineura floridana, 2767 nucleotides. It is a transcript of the gene named zinc finger DHHC-type palmitoyltransferase 21, with no coding region annotated. The record is from RefSeq and is a predicted model, not a curated record. The transcript is spliced from 10 exons. NCBI's taxonomy places the organism in Eukaryota, Metazoa, Chordata, Lepidosauria, Squamata, Rhineuridae.